RNAcentral lists this ribosomal RNA (534 nucleotides) under uncultured bacterium. RNAcentral's name for it is "partial 16S ribosomal RNA". It matches the Rfam family "Bacterial small subunit ribosomal RNA", at positions 355 to 902 of the family's 1533-position model. The record is from RNAcentral.
UGGGGAAUAUUGCACAAUGGGCGAAAGCCUGAUGCAGCAACGCCGCGUGAGUGAUGAAGGCCUUCGGGUUGUAAAGCUCUGUCUUUUGGGACGAUAAUGACGGUACCAAAGGAGGAAGCCACGGCUAACUACGUGCCAGCAGCCGCGGUAAUACGUAGGUGGCAAGCGUUGUCCGGAUUUACUGGGCGUAAAAGGAUGCGUAGGCGGAUUUUUAAGUGAGAUGUGAAAUACCCGGGCUUAACUUGGGUGCUGCAUUUCAAACUGGGAAUCUAGAGUGCGGGAGAGGAGAAUGGAAUUCCUAGUGUAGCGGUGAAAUGCGUAGAGAUUAGGAAGAACACCAGUGGCGAAAGGCGAUUCUCUGGACCGUAACUGACGCUGAGGCAUGAAAGCGUGGGUAGCAAACAGGAUUAGAUACCCUGGUAGUCCACGCCGUAAACGAUGAGUACUAGGUGUAGGAGGUAUCGACCCCUUCUGUGCCGCAGUUAACACAAUAAGUACUCCGCCUGGGAAGUACGAUCGCAAGAUUAAAAACUU